Molecule: ribosomal RNA, 497 nt
Filed under: uncultured bacterium
Lineage: Bacteria
Description: partial 16S ribosomal RNA
Rfam family: Bacterial small subunit ribosomal RNA
Source: RNAcentral
GAUGAACGCUGGCGGCGUGCCUAAUACAUGCAAGUCGAGCGAACAGACGAGGAGCUUGCGCCUCGGACGUUAGCGGCGGGCGGGUGAGUAACACGUGUAUAACCUACCUAUAAGACGGGUAAAACUUCGAAAAACCGGAGCUAAUACCGGAUAACAUGUUGAACCACAGUGUGCAACGGUAAGAUACGGUUGUUCGGGCUGGUAUCGAUGCAUCCGCGUCGCAUGAGCUAGUUGGUAAGGUAACGGCUUACCAAGGCAACGAGGCGUAGCCGAACGGAGAGGGUGAUCGGCCACACUGGAGCUGAGCCACGGUCCAGACUCCUAAGGGAGGGCGCAGUAGGGAAUGUUACGCAAAGGGCGAAAGCCUGACGGAGCAACGCCGCGUGAGUGAAGAAGGUGUUCGGAUCGUAAAACUCUGUUAUUAGUGAAGAACAACUGUGUAAGUAACUAUGCACGUCUUGACGGUAACUAAUAAGAAAGCCACGGCUAACUACGUG